RNAcentral lists this transfer RNA (82 nucleotides) under Lederbergia lenta. Its description in RNAcentral is "Bacillus lentus tRNA". It matches the Rfam family "tRNA". Rfam says of the family: Transfer RNA (tRNA) molecules are approximately 80 nucleotides in length. Their secondary structure includes four short double-helical elements and three loops (D, anti-codon, and T loops). Further hydrogen bonds mediate the characteristic L-shaped molecular structure. tRNAs have two regions of fundamental functional importance: the anti-codon, which is responsible for specific mRNA codon recognition, and the 3' end, to which the tRNAs corresponding amino acid is attached (by aminoacyl-tRNA synthetases). tRNAs cope with the degeneracy of the genetic code in two manners: having more than one tRNA (with a specific anti-codon) for a particular amino acid; and 'wobble' base-pairing, i.e. permitting non-standard base-pairing at the 3rd anti-codon position. RNAcentral also lists the same sequence under 21 other names. Lineage: Bacteria; Bacillati; Bacillota; Bacilli; Caryophanales; Bacillaceae. The record is from Rfam by way of RNAcentral.
GCGGGUGUGGUGGAACUGGCAGACACGCUAGACUUAGGAUCUAGUGCCGUAAGGCGUGGGGGUUCGACUCCCUUCACCCGCA